Molecule: ribosomal RNA, 468 nt
Filed under: uncultured bacterium
Lineage: Bacteria
Description: partial 16S ribosomal RNA
Rfam family: Bacterial small subunit ribosomal RNA
Source: RNAcentral
GACGAACGCUGGCGGCGUGCUUAACACAUGCAAGUCGAACGGAAAGGCCCUGCUUUUGUGGGGUGCUCGAGUGGCGAACGGGUGAGUAACACGUGAGUAACCUGCCCUUGACUUUGGGAUAACUUCAGGAAACUGGGGCUAAUACCGGAUAGGAGCUCCUGCUGCAUGGUGGGGGUUGGAAAGUUUCGGCGGUUGGGGAUGGACUCGCGGCUUAUCAGCUUGUUGGUGGGGUAGUGGCUUACCAAGGCUUUGACGGGUAGCCGGCCUGAGAGGGUGACCGGCCACAUUGGGACUGAGAUACGGCCCAGACUCCUACGGGAGGAAGAAGUGGGGAAUAUUGCACAAUGGGCGGAAGCCUGAUGCAGCAACGCCGCGUGCGGGAUGACGGCCUUCGGGUUGUAAACCGCUUUCGCCUGUGACGAAGCGUGAGUGACGGUAAUGGGUAAAGAAGCACCGGCUAACUACGUG